RNAcentral lists this ribosomal RNA (504 nucleotides) under uncultured bacterium. Its description in RNAcentral is "bacterial SSU rRNA". It matches the Rfam family "Bacterial small subunit ribosomal RNA", at positions 8 to 524 of the family's 1533-position model. The record is from RNAcentral.
AGAGUUUGAUCAUGGCUCAGGACGAACGCUGGCGGCGUGCUUAACACAUGCAAGUCGAACGAUGAAGCCCAGCUUGCUGGGUGGAAGAGUGGCGAACGGGUGAGUAACACGUGAGUAACCUGCCCUUCACUCUGGGAUAAGCGCUGGAAACGGCGUCUAAUACUGGAUACGACCCUUACAGGCAUCUGUUGGGGGUGGAAAGAUUUAUCGGUGAAGGAUGGGCUCGCGGCCUAUCAGGUAGUUGGUGAGGUAACGGCUCACCAAGCCGACGACGGGUAGCCGGCCUGAGAGGGUGACCGGCCACACUGGGACUGAGACACGGCCCAGACUCCUACGGGAGGCAGCAGUGGGGAAUAUUGCACAAUGGGCGAAAGCCUGGUGCAGCAACGCCGCGUGAGGGAUGACGGCCUUCGGGUUGUAAACCUCUUUUAGUAGGGAAGAAGCGAAAGUGACGGUACCUGCAGAAAAAGCACCGGCUAACUACGUGCCAGCAGCCGCGGUAAU